UGCGGGGCUGUCCUCAGACUGCCAUAUGUGAACUGUCAUACACGUGCCCAUAUUCACACAUAUGUACACACUGUACACACAAACACACACACACACACACACACACACACACACACACACACACACACACACACCAGAACCUUCAGCAUGCUGGACAAUUGCUCUACCACUAAGCAACACAGCCUUAUUUUGAGACCGGGUCUCAUUAAGUUGAUCAUACUCUGUACCCCAUGUAGGUCUUGAAGACGUGAUCCUGCUGCUUCCGCUUGGACUAGCUGAGAUUACAAGUGUAUGCCAGUAGGUGUGGCUUCGUAUUUUGAGGCAGGGUUUCACCGUGUAGCCUAGGCUGGCCUGGAAUCCUCUGUGUAGACCAAGCUGAUGCUGAGCACACAAGAGUUGCCCUGCCUACCAAGUGCUGAGGAUAAGGUAUACCUAGCACAAUGGUGUGUCUCAACGCAGGGGCAUCUUAACUUUGAUGGGUAUCUAGUGUCUACCGUAACAACCUUCUUUGCAGUUCACCUUAGUCAUUCAGAACUUUUGGUUGCAAGUCGAGCAACUUCCCCUCAAAACAAGAAAAAAUUUGGCCCAGUAGUUGGACAGAAUGCUGGGCACAGAUCACUGGGUUAGAGGAAGACCUGCAGGGAUCCUAAGAGUGGGUUUCAACUCUGUUAGAUUUCUGCCCAUCUUUUAUCUCUGCUUAAUUUACCAAUAGGCUUUCUCUUCUCUAGGUCAGCCCCAAAUGUAACAAUCCCAGGAGGAAAAGAACCCUGGAGAGAUGUGCUACUGCCUCUGUAUCAAUCUUAGGGAGAAGUCCAGAUUGGCCCUCCUGGGAUCACAUGACUAUCUCUGUCCAGUCCUUGUGGCUAGAGAAAAGUGUAUCCUGAUGAUCCAACCACCAUUGACACAUCCUUCCCUAUAGCCAGAAAAUGUCACUGGAUGUGGGUAGGAGUGAGCUGGCCAUUAGCACCGUAUCACCCAAUGGUCAUUUUCAUAGGAUGCCACCCACUGUCCCCUGAGACAAGAGGAUCUUAGGAAGAAGAACAUUGGAAGUCUAUGGCUUCCCCUUCUCUUGUGAAGUGGUGCUCUAAUGUUGUUAAUCAGACCACAGAAAAUGAUGUUGUUUGAAGGAUUUAAUAAAGCAAUGAAAUACGCAUGUAAUAUACUGGAUGUAAUUAUGCUUCAACUCCUCACCCAGGGAGGAUUUGUUUGCAGACAGAUCUUUAACAGAAACAUGAAAAAGCUUUUAGAAAACCGAACCUGGAGCCGGGCGUGGUGGCACAUGCCUUUAAUCCCAGUACUCGGGAGGCAGAGGCAGGCGGAUUUCUGAGUUCGAGGCCAGCCUGGUCUACAAAGUGAGUUCCAGGACAGCCAGGGCUACACAGAGAAACCCUGUCUCAAAACAACAGCAACAACAACAACAAACAAACAAAAAAAACGAACCUGUGAAUUUGUCAUGUAGAAUUUAAGCCCCAAAGGUCUGGCUUUUUAACGCUGGCUUGAGAUUGUAUCUCUUCUGUU
Molecule: long non-coding RNA, 1518 nt
Filed under: Mus musculus (house mouse)
Lineage: Eukaryota; Metazoa; Chordata; Mammalia; Rodentia; Muridae
Description: long non-coding RNA chr1:180786512-180788030
Source: RNAcentral